UCCCUGGUGGCUCAGACGGUAAAGUGUCUGUCUACAAUGCAGGAGACUCGGGUUCAAUCCCUGGGUUGGGAA
This 72-nucleotide transfer RNA is filed under the name Ovis aries (sheep). It matches the Rfam family "tRNA". Rfam says of the family: Transfer RNA (tRNA) molecules are approximately 80 nucleotides in length. Their secondary structure includes four short double-helical elements and three loops (D, anti-codon, and T loops). Lineage: Eukaryota; Metazoa; Chordata; Mammalia; Artiodactyla; Bovidae. The record is from Rfam by way of RNAcentral.